RNAcentral lists this ribosomal RNA (467 nucleotides) under uncultured bacterium. RNAcentral's name for it is "partial 16S ribosomal RNA". It matches the Rfam family "Bacterial small subunit ribosomal RNA", at positions 28 to 505 of the family's 1533-position model. The record is from RNAcentral.
GACGAACGCUGGCGGCGUGCUUAACACAUGCAAGUCGAACGGAAAGGCCCUGCUUUUGUGGGGUGCUCGAGUGGCGAACGGGUGAGUAACACGUGAGUAACCUGCCCUUGACUUUGGGAUAACUUCAGGAAACUGGGGCUAAUACCGGAUAGGAGCUCCUGCUGCAUGGUGGGGGUUGGAAAGUUUCGGCGGUUGGGGAUGGACUCGCGGCUUAUCAGCUUGUUGGUGGGGUAGUGGCUUACCAAGGCUUUGACGGGUAGCCGGCCUGAGAGGGUGACCGGCCACAUUGGGACUUGAGAUACGGCCCAGACUCCUACGGGAGGCAGCAGUGGGGAAUAUUGCACAAUGGGCGGAAGCCUGAUGCAGCAACGCCGCGUGCGGGAUGACGGCCUUCGGGUUGUAAACCGCUUUCGCCUGGGACGAAGCGUGAGUGACGGUAAGGGGUAAAGAAGCACCGGCUAACUACG